UAUGUGAUCGUCUCUCGCAUAUCAAUAAGCGGAGGAAAAGAAACUAACAAGGAUUCCCCUAGUAACGGCGAGUGAAGCGGGAAGAGCUCAAAUUUGAAAUCUUAAAGGGUUUCCCUUUACGAAUUGUAGUUUAAAGAAGUGUUUUCUGUUGAGGUUUUGGUAAAAGUUCUUUGGAAUAGGACAUCAUAGAGGGUGAGAAUCCCGUAUUUGACCUUUACUUUCAACUUUGUGAUACACUUUCAAAGAGUCGGAUUGUUUGGGAAUGCAGUCCAAAAUGGGUGGUAAAUUUCAUCUAAAGCUAAAUAUUGGCGAGAGACCGAUAGCGAACAAGUACCGUGAGGGAAAGAUGAAAAGAACUUUGAAAAGAGAGUUAAACAGUACGUGAAAUUGUCAAAAGGGAAGCGUUUGACACCAGUGUUGUUUUUCUGAAAAUCAAUUAAAGAACUGUUUAUGCUAAGUUGUUUAGACUUUAUCAGGCUAUCUGUUUAGUUUUGAGCUUUUCUUUAAUGCACUUUUCAGUUAACAAGUCAACAUCAAUUUCUUUUGCUGUAAAAAAGCUUGAGGAAGGUGGCUUGAGAUUCGUCUUAAGUGUUUAUAGCCUCUUGCCUAUGCAGUCGGAGAGAUUGAGGUCUGCAGCGUAGAUCCUUCGGGGCUAAAUGCAUUUGUGCUAAGUUAUAGCAUUUUAUAGACAACUUGUUGACUAUGAUUUGUCUUGUAGCUUACUCGCUUAUGUUAUUUUACCUACGCUUAGGAUGUUGAUAUGCAUGACUGAUAU
This 775-nucleotide ribosomal RNA is filed under the name uncultured Neocallimastigales. RNAcentral describes it as "partial large subunit ribosomal RNA". It matches the Rfam family "Eukaryotic large subunit ribosomal RNA", at positions 24 to 629 of the family's 3401-position model. Lineage: Eukaryota; Fungi; Neocallimastigomycota; Neocallimastigomycetes; Neocallimastigales. The record is from RNAcentral.